Molecule: ribosomal RNA, 565 nt
Filed under: uncultured Glomeromycotina
Lineage: Eukaryota; Fungi; Glomeromycota
Description: SSU rRNA
Rfam family: Eukaryotic small subunit ribosomal RNA
Source: RNAcentral
UUGGAGGGCAAGUCUGGUGCCAGCAGCCGCGGUAAUUCCAGCUCCAAUAGCGUAUAUUAAGGUUGUUGCAGUUAAAAAGCUCGUAGUUGAAUUUCGGGGUUAGUAGGUUGGUCAUGCCUCUGGUAUGUACUGGUCUCACUGGUUCCUCCUUCCUGAUGAGCCGUAAUGCCAUUAAUUUGGUGUUGCGGGGAAUUUGGACUGUUACUUUGAAAAAAUUAGAGUGUUUAAAGCAAGCUAACGCUUGAAUACAUUAGCAUGGAAUAAUGAAAUAGGACGUUCGAUCCUAUUUUGUUGGUUUCUAGGAUUGACGUAAUGAUUAAUAGGGAUAGUUGGGGGCAUUAGUAUUCAAUUGUCAGGGGUGAAAUUCUUGGAUUUAUUGAAGACUAACUACUGCGAAAGCAUUUGCCAAGGAUGUUUUCAUUAAUCAAGGACGAAAGUUAGGGGAUCGAAGACGAUCAGAUACCGUCGUAGUCUUAACCAUAAACUAUGCCGACUAGGGAUCGGAUGAUGUUAAUUUUUUAAUGACUCAUUCGGCGCCUUACGGGAAACCAAAGUGUUUGGGUUC